This 1418-nucleotide ribosomal RNA is filed under the name metagenome. RNAcentral describes it as "bacterial SSU rRNA". It matches the Rfam family "Bacterial small subunit ribosomal RNA". The record is from RNAcentral.
GUUUGACCCUGGCUCAGGAUGAACGCUGGCGGCGUGCUUAACACAUGCAAGUCGAACGCACCUUCGGGUGAGUGGCGGACGGGUGAGUAACGCGUGGGAAUCUGCCCUUAGGAGGGGGAUAACGGCUGGAAACGGCCGCUAAUACCCCAUAUGCCGAGAGGUGAAACGAAUUUCGCCUGAGGAUGAGCCCGCGUCUGAUUAGCUAGUUGGUGGGGUAAGAGCCCACCAAGGCGACGAUCAGUAGCUGGUCUGAGAGGAUGAUCAGCCACACUGGGACUGAGACACGGCCCAGACUCCUACGGGAGGCAGCAGUGGGGAAUUUUCCGCAAUGGGCGAAAGCCUGACGGAGCAACGCCGCGUGAGGGAUGAAGGCCUCUGGGCUGUAAACCUCUUUUCUCAAGGAAGAAGACAUGACGGUACUUGAGGAAUAAGCCACGGCUAAUUCCGUGCCAGCAGCCGCGGUAAUACGGGAGUGGCAAGCGUUAUCCGGAAUUAUUGGGCGUAAAGCGUCCGCAGGCGGCUCUGUAAGUCUGUUGUUAAAGCGUGGAGCUCAACUCCAUUUCAGCAAUGGAAACUACAGGGCUUGAGUGUGGUAGGGGCAGAGGGAAUUCCCGGUGUAGCGGUGAAAUGCGUAGAUAUCGGGAAGAACACCAGUGGCGAAGGCGCUCUGCUGGGCCAUAACUGACGCUCAUGGACGAAAGCCAGGGGAGCGAAAGGGAUUAGAUACCCCUGUAGUCCUGGCCGUAAACGAUGAACACUAGGUGUCGGGGGAAUCGACCCCCUCGGUGUCGUAGCCAACGCGUUAAGUGUUCCGCCUGGGGAGUACGCACGCAAGUGUGAAACUCAAAGGAAUUGACGGGGGCCCGCACAAGCGGUGGAGUAUGUGGUUUAAUUCGAUGCAACGCGAAGAACCUUACCAGGGUUUGACAUCCUGCGAAUCCCUUGGAAACUUGGGAGUGCCUUCGGGAGCGCAGAGACAGGUGGUGCAUGGCUGUCGUCAGCUCGUGUCGUGAGAUGUUGGGUUAAGUCCCGCAACGAGCGCAACCCACGUCUUUAGUUGCCAGCAUUCAGUUGGGCACUCUAGAGAGACCGCCGGUGAUAAACCGGAGGAAGGUGUGGAUGACGUCAAGUCAUCAUGCCCCUUACAUCCUGGGCUACACACGUACUACAAUGCUACGGACAGAGGGCAGCAAGCUCGCGAGAGUUAGCAAAUCCCAUAAACCGUGGCUCAGUUCAGAUCGUAGGCUGCAACUCGCCUACGUGAAGGAGGAAUCGCUAGUAAUCGCAGGUCAGCAUACUGCGGUGAAUACGUUCCCGGGCCUUGUACACACCGCCCGUCACACCAUGGAAGUUGGCCAUGCCCGAAGUCGUUACUCCAACCCUUGUGGAGGAGGACGCCGAAGGUGGGGCUGAUGACU